This 254-nucleotide long non-coding RNA is filed under the name Lathyrus oleraceus (garden pea). RNAcentral describes it as "Pisum sativum (pea) long non-coding RNA (PSAT_LNC017362)". Lineage: Eukaryota; Viridiplantae; Streptophyta; Magnoliopsida; Fabales; Fabaceae. The record is from RNAcentral.
GGAAUCAACAGUUAAAACAAACAGACAAAUGUGCACAGUACAAAGCUCAAGGCAUAUGAGCCAAGCAACCUACAAAACAAAGAGGUUAGCUCAUGAUAAUCAGAUGAACUCAAUCAAAUUGUAGUGAUCUCUUUGAAGCAUUUGUAGCUUAACCUGAAAACAUGAACUCAAACAUAAGCCACAGGACCACUAGGACAAGCCUAGGGUCAAAAAUGAAUGAGAAAGCCAAAACAGCAAGCAAUGUCCAAUCAAAA